This is a non-coding RNA of Podarcis lilfordi (Lilford's wall lizard), 1258 nucleotides long. The record is from the annotation of a GenBank genome assembly. NCBI's taxonomy places the organism in Eukaryota, Metazoa, Chordata, Lepidosauria, Squamata, Lacertidae.
UGUUACCUGUGCUAUGGAUGAGUGUAUAAAUAUCAGUUUACCUGAAGGUGGUGACCCAUGGUUGCCAUGGAACCCACAAGAGCAUCUUCUCUGGAGAGGGGGUUGUCAUAGAAACAGUGCUGUCUCUAUGGCAACAGUGCAUCAUUAUUUCCCCUCUUUCAACUGAAAUAUGUUUAAAGAACCUGUUGAGGAAAGUAUGUGCAUUUAUUGGAAGUAAGAGCCAAUAUCCAGGCCUGGUAUGAAAUAUUAGGGAGGCUGAUGUGCAAACCCGCUGAAGAGAUGCAUUUGUUUCUUCUUUGCAUUUCAGAGAUACUGUAGAUCAGGGGUUCCCAGCCGGCUGUCCAUGGACCACCAGGGUCUGCCUGCAGCAUGUCUGUGAAGAACCAGGGCUGUGGUUGUGAAUGGUGGCAGUGGCAACAGCAACUACAGCUGCUCCAGGAUGGACCGGAAGUGAUGGGCAGGAGGAAGUGGCCUGAAAAGGGUCAAAAACACAUUGCACCUCAUGUAUUACAAUCUGAAUUCUUGGGACUCAAAUUGUAUUACAAAAACCAUAUAGCAUAUAACACAGUGCAUUACCAUUGCUACCGUAGGCUGAUGAAUCAUUAAGUCGUCCGCCACGACCCUCAGCAAUUUUUGAGUGGUCCAUGGGAGAAAAGGUUUGGGCAUCACUGCUGAAGGUGGAACCAGAUAUGAGAAAAUUGGCUCCAGUUGUCCUUUACUCACCUCCCUUGCCAGCCCUUUGGUGUAGGACCUCAGAAGCCUCCUGUUCUCACUUCCCCAAUCAAAGAAUGUGUUGUGUAGAUAAGGCCUUAUCCAAGCUGAGGGAUACUGGCACUGUGACCUAACCCAGGCCUUGCUUCCCCUUUCUGGGCUGUGACUGUGCAAGAUUUUCCCUUUAAAUCCAUCUGUAAUGCUGAUGUAAUCCUGACCUUGGCUGCAAAGUACAGUACUUAUCUGCGACAGGUGGUAUUCAGCUAAGUGUGAAUCAGAGAAUGCAUACUUCCAGGGAUUAUUCCUCUUUGCCCCUCUGCCACCCUUAAAAAAUUCAAAAUUCUCUGACCUUCAUGUCAGCAAACUUUGUGGUGUUUCCAUCUUGCAUCUUAAUACAAUACUCUGUGGGAACCAGAUACUGUUGCACAAACACCCUGCUCUUCACAGCUCCAUGUCACAUUCUGUGGGAGCAACAGAGAUUUGAAUUCUCAUGCCCACCUCAGGACUGGGCCAGAGAGUAUGAAUCCUCUUUUCCACUGUGGGCCAU